CAUCGAUGUGGGGUUGAGGAAGACAAGAGGAGCUCCAGCCUCUCACUGUCCUGGCAUUUCCUCUACGUUCAUGUCUUGCUAGAACGGUGUGAAUUGACAGAAUAUCUGCGGGGUUUUACGUAGUAUAUGGCUGCCCACAAGGUGUUCAGUGCUUCAAAAUUGAGAAGGGAGGAAAACACCAGCUACCAAAGGGAAGCCCGAAAGCUUUCUUUGCAAGUGCACUCGACAUGGGAAUACCCAAAGCUGACCAGGAAUUUGUUCUCAAAGUGCUCACAGGGACCUAGACAAAUGCACAGGAACUUAGAAUCCAACCUGAACCAAACCCAGGAAGGCUUCCUGAAAGAGGCAAUCUCAAAAUGAAGACAAAAUCACAUUUAGAAUGGAUGAAUAAUAAGGUCCUAAUAUAUAGCACAGGGAACUAUAUUCAAUAUCCUGUGAUAAACCAUAA
Molecule: long non-coding RNA, 448 nt
Organism: Bos taurus (domestic cattle)
Lineage: Eukaryota; Metazoa; Chordata; Mammalia; Artiodactyla; Bovidae
Source: Ensembl